RNAcentral lists this ribosomal RNA (275 nucleotides) under uncultured bacterium. RNAcentral describes it as "partial 16S ribosomal RNA". It matches the Rfam family "Bacterial small subunit ribosomal RNA", at positions 399 to 691 of the family's 1533-position model. The record is from RNAcentral.
GCGUGGGUGAUGAAGGCCUUAGGGUUGUAAAGCCCUUUCGGCGGGGACGAUGAUGACGGUACCCGCAGAAGAAGCCCCGGCUAACUUCGUGCCAGCAGCCGCGGUAAUACGAAGGGGGCUAGCGUUGUUCGGAAUUACUGGGCGUAAAGGGCGCGCAGGCGGCCGAUGAAGUCAGAUGUGAAAGCCCCGGGCUCAACCUGGGAACUGCAUUUGAUACUCGUUGGCUAGAGUUCGGGAGAGGAGAGUGGAAUUCCCAGUGUAGAGGUGAAAUUCGU